This 72-nucleotide transfer RNA is filed under the name Parcubacteria bacterium OLB19. Its description in RNAcentral is "tRNA-Pro". It matches the Rfam family "tRNA". Rfam says of the family: Transfer RNA (tRNA) molecules are approximately 80 nucleotides in length. Their secondary structure includes four short double-helical elements and three loops (D, anti-codon, and T loops). Lineage: Bacteria; Candidatus Parcubacteria. The record is from RNAcentral.
CGGGGUAUAGCAUAGUGGUAGUGUGCGUCCAUGGGGUGGAUGUGGCGCCGGUUCGAUUCCGGCUAUCCCGAC